This 60-nucleotide transfer RNA is filed under the name Amblyomma gervaisi. RNAcentral describes it as "tRNA-Pro". Lineage: Eukaryota; Metazoa; Arthropoda; Arachnida; Ixodida; Ixodidae. The record is from RNAcentral.
CAGAAAAUAAUAUAGAAAGUAUAUAAAUUUUGGAGAUUUAAAGUGAGAAAUCUUUUCUGA